RNAcentral lists this ribosomal RNA (1115 nucleotides) under Staphylococcus aureus T89906. RNAcentral's name for it is "bacterial SSU rRNA". It matches the Rfam family "Bacterial small subunit ribosomal RNA", at positions 8 to 1102 of the family's 1533-position model. Lineage: Bacteria; Bacillati; Bacillota; Bacilli; Caryophanales; Staphylococcaceae. RNAcentral also lists the same sequence under 2 other names. The record is from RNAcentral.
AGAGUUUGAUCCUGGCUCAGGAUGAACGCUGGCGGCGUGCCUAAUACAUGCAAGUCGAGCGAACGGACGAGAAGCUUGCUUCUCUGAUGUUAGCGGCGGACGGGUGAGUAACACGUGGAUAACCUACCUAUAAGACUGGGAUAACUUCGGGAAACCGGAGCUAAUACCGGAUAAUAUUUUGAACCGCAUGGUUCAAAAGUGAAAGACGGUCUUGCUGUCACUUAUAGAUGGAUCCGCGCUGCAUUAGCUAGUUGGUAAGGUAACGGCUUACCAAGGCAACGAUGCAUAGCCGACCUGAGAGGGUGAUCGGCCACACUGGAACUGAGACACGGUCCAGACUCCUACGGGAGGCAGCAGUAGGGAAUCUUCCGCAAUGGGCGAAAGCCUGACGGAGCAACGCCGCGUGAGUGAUGAAGGUCUUCGGAUCGUAAAACUCUGUUAUUAGGGAAGAACAUAUGUGUAAGUAACUGUGCACAUCUUGACGGUACCUAAUCAGAAAGCCACGGCUAACUACGUGCCAGCAGCCGCGGUAAUACGUAGGUGGCAAGCGUUAUCCGGAAUUAUUGGGCGUAAAGCGCGCGUAGGCGGUUUUUUAAGUCUGAUGUGAAAGCCCACGGCUCAACCGUGGAGGGUCAUUGGAAACUGGAAAACUUGAGUGCAGAAGAGGAAAGUGGAAUUCCAUGUGUAGCGGUGAAAUGCGCAGAGAUAUGGAGGAACACCAGUGGCGAAGGCGACUUUCUGGUCUGUAACUGACGCUGAUGUGCGAAAGCGUGGGGAUCAAACAGGAUUAGAUACCCUGGUAGUCCACGCCGUAAACGAUGAGUGCUAAGUGUUAGGGGGUUUCCGCCCCUUAGUGCUGCAGCUAACGCAUUAAGCACUCCGCCUGGGGAGUACGACCGCAAGGUUGAAACUCAAAGGAAUUGACGGGGACCCGCACAAGCGGUGGAGCAUGUGGUUUAAUUCGAAGCAACGCGAAGAACCUUACCAAAUCUUGACAUCCUUUGACAACUCUAGAGAUAGAGCUUUCCCCUUCGGGGGACAAAGUGACAGGUGGUGCAUGGUUGUCGUCAGCUCGUGUCGUGAGAUGUUGGGUUAAGUCCCGCAACGAGCGCAAC